UUUUAAAUGACGAAAUGUGGCACAGAAAGCCUUAGUAUAUUGCUGAAAAUCACAGCUAGUCAGGGUGUUGGGAGGAUUUGAACCUAGGCACUCUGGCUUCAGAGCCUGUGCUCUUAUCCACCCCACCAUUCCAAGCCUGGAAGCCCUGAGCUCAGACGACAGAACCGGGGCAGCACUCACAGACCCCACGGUAAACUGGCCACGGAAUCAUAACCACAGCCCUGUUCCUCUCAGUCAACCUUCACAGCAGUUUGAGGAGUUGAGUGGUCACUGUGCCCAUGUUAUAAAUGAAGAAACUGAGGCUCUGAGAGUCAAGAAAGAUGGCACAGGACUCAGACAAGGCUACACGUCACCCUGACUCUCUAACAUCUGGCACGUGGCAGAUGCUCAGUUAAAAUUAAGUGAAGGAGUGAAGGAAUGAAUGGAUGAAUGUAGGACACUGCCUGCCCACUCAGUCUGAUGUGUGAGUGGCAGAGGCUAUGUGUGGAUGGGCCAGGAGCUGUGAAAACCUCCUUGCUUUAAGACAAGAGACCAUGCUGAACGUGGUGGCUCAUGCCUGUAAUCCCAGCACUUUGGGAGGCCAAGGCUGGAAGAUCACCUGAGGUCAGGAAUUUGAGACCAGCCUGACUUACAUGGCAAAACCCUGUCUCUACUAAAAAUACAAAAUUAGCCAGGCAUGGCAGUGCAUGCCUGUAAUCCCAGCUACUUGGGAGGCUAAGGCAGGAGAAUUGCUUGAACCCAGGAGGCAGAGGUUGCAGUGAGCUGAGAUCACACCAUUGCACUCCAGCCUGGGCAACCAGAGCGAAACUCUGUCUCAAAAAAUUAAAUAAAAUAAAAAUUAAAAAUAAGAUAAGCAACCAAGUCAGGAUUUGAGGCUCUGAGACACUGAGGGGAGGCUCAGGGCAGAGGUGACUAUGUGGGGUGGGGGACACAGGUUCUCUAACAGUUGAGGGUGAAUCAGAGCAGGAGAUGCUUCUCCAGUUUUGACUCAGUCACCUCCAAAACAGAGCAGAACCCUGGCUCACACAGGAUGAGCUUUGGAGUCACAGGGAUCAGGGUUUCCUGCCUCUGUGUGUGACUUCGACCGAAGCAAUCACCGUCUCUAAAUUUCAACUUCCUCCUCUGUCAAAUGGAGGUGACAGCUACCAGCCCUAGGGCUGCUGUGAGAACAAAGUCAAGGGGCAGAUGUGCGGUCACCUGGCAGGUGGCAUGUGUCCUUCCCAUUGAUGGCUGCUGUUGUCCAGUGGCCAGGCCAGUGUGGUGAGGCCCAAGUGGGUUCAGAAUGGGAGCCAGGCAGUGCCGGAACUGUGCCCUUGGCAGGCAGGAUAAGCCACAGACAAGUUCAGAGCAAGUCUCUCCCCAAAUCAGGGUCUCAGUUUCUCCGUGUGUAACACAAGGCCCCAAAUCUCUCCCAGAGCUGACCUUCUAGAAACUCGGUAUUCACCAACACAUCCGGCAAAGGGAAAGUCGUGAGCCUGCCUGACCAUAGGACCACCAAGAGGAGUCACAGAGAGGGGACCUGCUCUGCCCAGUGUCCUCCCACCAUAGGUCAAGGUCAAGAGCACACAGAGCCAUGAUCAUCUGAUUCCCAGAUCCGGCCCGAAGUGAAGGAAAGUGUGCUGGAUGUAGAAUCAGCACACAGAGGGCCAGUCCUGGAUCUGCCACCUACGUCCAUGGACAUUGGACAAGUCACUUCUUCCAUUUCCCCAUUUCUUUAUGCAUAGCAUGGGAAUAGCCCUUAUCUCUUUUAGAAGAAAAUGUAGGAGACGCUGUUGGAGUAGUGAAGGAUUUCUUAAACAAUUCACAGAAAGCAUAAACCACAGAGAAAAAUCUGACUGCAUUAAAACUUAACAUUGCUGUAACCAAAAAGCACCAAAUCCAAAAUUAGCAGAGAGGCCACAGGCUUGGAGAAAAUAUUUACAAUACAUAUAACUGACAAGGGAUCAAUAUCUAUAAUACAUAAAGAAUUUUUACAAUCCAAUUUCAAAAGCAAAUAGAAAAAGAGGCAAAAAUAUCCACAAGCAUUCACAGAAGAAACUCUAAAGCCCAAUCAAUUUAUAAACACAUGCUCAGCUUCGCUGUCGACCAGGGAAAUGCAAAUUUAAGCAAUUGAAAGACUAUUUCAUAAACAUCAGGUUGGGGAAAAAAAAUCUAACGAAAUGUUGCAGAGGAGGUGGGAAAGACAGGAGCUUUUAGGAAAGGAGUGCUGAUACUCUGACCUGGGAGAGCAAUUUGUCAAUAUCUAGUGAAGCUGGACGUGUCCAUGCCCUGGGGCCUCAUGAUCCAACAAGUCCAGUUUCAGAUAAAUAUCCCAAAAGAGUAAUUCCUAUACAUGGGCUCAUAAUUUGCACUGCAGCCCUGAUAUUAUUGGGAAGAUAAAGAGAACAAGCUAAAUGCCUAUCAGUAGAAGAUUGGAAGCACCAACAAAUCAGGAAAGAAGUGUGCCCAAAGAAAUUGCUAUUUGGAUGAACGUGACAUUUGUCGGCCAGCGACGGAAGCUGGAGGAGCAGUUGUGUUUGCAACGCAUAACCUCAUCUCACAGCCCAGACUCCCAAACACUGCACACACUUGUGGGCGGAGCAGUCGCCUGGGUGGAAAAACACAGCCGAACAGACAGGCUCUGAGCGAGGCAGGGAAGGAAAGAGGAAGGGAGGGAGGACAGGCGCACCAGCUAACAUACACCAAACGCUUAGGCCAGGCCCACUGCCAUUUCAUCCUCAAAACACAUACAUUACCCCCCACUCUAGAGAUGAGGAAACAAGCUCAGAAAGGGAAGGGGUUCUUUUGCCAAGAGCACGAAACUAAGAAGUAGCCAGAUUGAAUCCCGCCCGGUCUGGUUGGCGUGAAAUUCCUUGUCUAUAGCAAGGAGAAAGAGCUCAGUAAAUGAUGCUUCCUUUUUAUCUUUCUGUCCCUCCUUUUUCUUCCUUCCUGAGGAAACUGAGGCCCAGAGAGAUUACAGGAUGUGCCAGGACCACCUAGGGUGGUAACUAAUUGGAUGGCGAAGCUGAGGAAGAUGGGAGAAUCCAAAAUGAGUCUCAGGCUUCCACCACGCACAGAGAGGAGAAGCCUUCGUGGGAAAGAGGCGGUCAGAUGUGAAGGGAGGUGUUGGGUCGGAGGUAUCUUUGGAGCAACCUAUAAAGAUGUCCUGAGACAACCAGGUUGCGGGCUCUCUAAACUUGUGGAAAGAGAGGCAGGCUGGAAAGAUGGGGAGCCUCUAAACAUGAGCCUCGCUGUGAUGAGACUUCCUUCUCAGAGCCUAGGAGAACCUCUCAAUGCAAAAAUGAAUAAGGACUUCAGACUGCCUGACCGCCAAGAGCAGAGAGAGAUGAAGCCCAGAGAUGUUAAGUAACUUGUUCUGGUCACACAGUCAAGACAAGGACCGCAGUGUUCUUUCCACUGCAUAUCCUGAAGAAAGUGGUCCAUCCGAGUGGAGCAGAAAAAAGAGGCAGCUGAAAAUCCCAACCCAAUGAAGACCUGUUCAGAGAAGAGGCCCAUGGCUCAGAAAGGUCAGGAGUCUUUGAUCAUGAGGAUUGUAAAGGGGUGAGAGUCCCAGGAGGCCUAAUGGGUGGCUCCCAAACCCCAGAAACAGCCAGCCUUUCACAACUCCACACUGCACGAAAACCCCGGAAACAGCCAGCCUUUCACAACUCCACACUGCACGAAAACCCCGGAAACAGCCAGCCUUUCACAACUCCACACUGCACGAAAACCCCGGAAACAGCCAGCCUUUCACAACUCCACACUGCACGAAAACCCCGGAAACAGCCAGCCUUUCACAACUCCACACUGCACGAAAACCCCGGAAACAGCCAGCCUUUCACAACUCCACACUGCACGAAAACCCGAGUUUGAGCCGGGCACAGUGGCUCAGCACUCUGGGAGGCUGAGGCGGGUGGAUCACCUGAGGUCAGGAGUCCAAGACCAGUCUGCAACAUGGUGAAACCCUAUCUCUACUGAAAACACAAAAAUUAGCCAGGCGGGGUGGCAUGUGUCUGUAAUCCCAGCUACUUGGGAGGCUGAGACAGGAGAAUAGCUUGAACCCAGGAAGCGGAGGUUGCAGUGAGCCGAGAUCACACCAUUGCACUCCAGCCUGGGAGAUAGAGUAAGACUCCAUCUCAACAAACAAAAAAAAAGGGGGUGGAAAACCUGAGUUUUCACUUUCUCCAACAAAAUGCUGGCAACACUGCACCUGCCCCACCCGGGAUCCAGCUCCUAGGAUGAGUAGAGGCUGCUCCUCCAGCCAGGGAGCAGCCUGCAGUAUUCCGUAGUGCCCAGGCCCUGGCAUGCACCAUCAUCACACAGUGCCAGGCCUACCAUCCACAACGUCUCAGAGCUGUGCACCCACCAGAUCUACUUGUCUCCUGGUUCCUCUGUAACCCUUAAUCAAAGUCCACCCACCCAUUUUCCAGGUGCCAUAGUUGUAGUCUGAGAGGUGGGGAACCAGGAUGGCGGAGCUAAGUUAGCGGCACCCCCAGAAUCACCCUGACUCCAGGCCCCUUCUUCCCAUUGGCCAGGCUGUUCUCCCUGGAGGAUCCCAUACUGCCUCUCUUACAUUCCACAGGCGUCCUCGAGAGGGGACACAGCUGCAGGUCCUAUGGUCUUGCACACUCAUUGCAGUGCCCCGUGCCUUACUUUCUUCAUCUGUAAAAUGGGUAUGGUUUUACCAGGUCUGGGACAAAGUGCAAAAUUUAAGGAGGUGCUCACUAGCCUGAACUUGGGUGUUCCUUCCUGCCCAGGGAUAUAAGGGGCUCAUGGGAAAAAAAGAAUAGGAAAGAAGUCCACAUGGGUGCGGGAGGUAGUCGCAUCCACUCUGCUGCAUUGUCUUUCAUACAGCUCAGCCCCAGCAUCCUUUCUGCAAAGCAGAGCUCGUGCCGGACACAGUGGCUCAUGCCUGUAAUCCCAGCACUUUGGGAGGCCAAGGGGGGUAGAUCGAGACCAGCCUGAGCAACAUAGUGAGAUUGUGUCUCCCAAAAAAAAAAAAAAGGCAGAGUUCACUCCCAUUCCUCUUAUGCUCCCUUGUGCCCCCCUACUCAGCCACUUCCCUGCCUGGACUGACAACCACGUGCAUCUGGAUGCAUUCACCCACACAGAGGGAGAGUGUGAUUUGCUACCAUCACAGCAAAAAAUAACUUGGCAGCAGCAUCAGCUAGAAUCUUAAAUGUCCUGCCCUUUGACCUAGCAACUCCAUUCCUUGUGUAGAAAUCUACCUACCCAAAGUCAAGUUCAGUGUGUAAAGAUAUUGAUAAAAGUCACGGUCUCCAACAUGCAAGGAGAAGAUCAGAGCCACGUGGGGAUCCAUCCCCGGUAGGGAAGCUGGAUACAGUGUGGCCUGGCCAUCCUGCUGAAUUCUACGAAGCCCUCACUCACAGUGGGGAGGAUCUGCACAUAUCCACAUGAACAGUGCUCUAAGAUGAGCUGGUGAGUGAAGGAAGCAAGACGCAGGCCGAUAUUCAAGUGUGAUGCCAUGGCCUGCUAAAAAUAAAGUAGCAUGUGUGUACUGCAGGAGGGGACUAUUAACACGGCCAUCCCCAGCUCCCCACUCUCGUCUCUGACAGAAAGGGCUCCUUUCUCCACCAUGACCUCCCUGGAGAGCCCAAACCUGUUCUUGGACUUCUGCAGAGGCUGGGAAGGGGUAGGGUAGGGACUCCCAGAGCUGGUCUGAAGAAAGCAGCUGCUGCUCUGUGACAAGGCAUGCAUCCCUCCCCACAGAGCUGUUUGUGUAUACAUAUCUGUAUGUUUAUAUAGACAGAUUGUGACAGGGCUCACACAUACCAAAAAAGGUGCACAGUAAACUCGUCUCCAUAGUCACUCUAGGGUGAGAUGAGGUGGCCCUAAAGUGAUGGGAGAAAUGACACAGAUCUUUCAAUAAUGACAUGGAAAGGUAUCCACAGAUUACUUGGGGGAAGGAGGAACAGUUGCAGGAUAAUAGGAUUCAUGGAAUUUCACUUUCAAAAGGACGCAGCUUUGUGUCUCCUUAUAUAGAUACACCACGCUACACAUCAAGCUUUUCCUGCUGGUUACUUCCUGGAAAUGGGAUGAGGAAAGGGUGAGGGGCCACACUGCUUACCUGCCCCCCACGCCCCAUGGAAAGGGUUGGUGGGAAAAUCACAGCAUGAAGCAUUGAGCACAGGGCUUGGCACUUAAGGUGUCCUCAUCCUCAAAGAAUGUGAGCGUUUGGCAGAGCUAGCUGCUUGGGUCUUUUGUUGAAUAAAUACUGUGGCUCACAGGUAGGCUAUGCCAAUAAUCAAAUCCCAGAAAAAGUUUUAUGCAAUAAAAAUACAUUAGCAGCCGGGCACAAUGGCUCACACCUGUAAUCCCAGCACUUUGAGAGGCCAAGGCGGGCAGAUCACGAAGUCAGGAGAUCGAGACCAUCCUGGCCAUGGUGAAAUCCCGUUUCUACUAAAAAAAAACAAAAAAUUAGCCGGGCGUGGUAGCACAUGCCUAUAGCCCCAGCUACCCAGGAGACUGAGGCAGGGGAAUAGCUUGAACCCAGGAGACGGAGGUUGCAGUGAGCUGAGAUCGUGUCACUGUACUCCAGUCUGGCAACAAAGCAAGACUCCAUUUCAAAAAAAAAUAAUAAUAA
Callithrix jacchus (white-tufted-ear marmoset) is the source of this 6583-nucleotide non-coding RNA. Lineage: Eukaryota; Metazoa; Chordata; Mammalia; Primates; Cebidae. The record is from RefSeq and is a predicted model, not a curated record.